AUGCAGUCGAGGGGCAGCAUGAACUUAGCUUGCUAAGUUUGAUGGCGACCGGCGCACGGGUGAGUAACACGUAUCCAACCUGCCGAUGACUCGGGGAUAGCCUUUCGAAAGAAAGAUUAAUACCCGAUGGCAUAAUUCUUCCGCAUGGUAGAACUAUUAAAGAAUUUCGGUCAUCGAUGGGGAUGCGUUCCAUUAGGUUGUUGGCGGGGUAACGGCCCACCAAGCCUUCGAUGGAUAGGGGUUCUGAGAGGAAGGUCCCCCACAUUGGAACUGAGACACGGUCCAAACUCCUACGGGAGGCAGCAGUGAGGAAUAUUGGUCAAUGGACGAGAGUCUGAACCAGCCAAGUAGCGUGAAGGAUGACUGCCCUAUGGGUUGUAAACUUCUUUUAUACGGGAAUAAAGUGAGGCACGUGUGCCUUUUUGUAUGUACCGUAUGAAUAAGGAUCGGCUAACUCCGUGCCAGCAGCCGCGGUAAUACGGAGGAUCCGAGCGUUAUCCGGAUUUAUUGGGUUUAAAGGGAGCGUAGGCGGACGCUUAAGUCAGUUGUGAAAGUUUGCGGCUCAACCGUAAAAUUGCAGUUGAUACUGGGUGUCUUGAGUACAGUAGAGGCAGGCGGAAUUCGUGGUGUAGCGGUGAAAUGCUUAGAUAUCACG
Molecule: ribosomal RNA, 655 nt
Filed under: uncultured bacterium
Lineage: Bacteria
Description: bacterial SSU rRNA
Rfam family: Bacterial small subunit ribosomal RNA
Source: RNAcentral